UACAGAGGAUGCAAGCGUUAUCCGGAAUGAUUGGGCGUAAAGCGUCUGUAGGUGGCUUUUUAAGUCCGCCGUCAAAUCCCAGGGCUCAACUCUGGACAGGCGGUGGAAACUACCAAGCUGGAGUACGGUAGGGGCAGAGGGAAUUUCCGGUGGAGCGGUGAAAUGCGUAGAGAUCGGAAAGAACACCCAGGGGGAAACCAGCCGACUGGGCAUCUGCUGACGCUGAGGUGCGAGAGCGUGGGGAGCGAACCGG
This 253-nucleotide ribosomal RNA is filed under the name uncultured bacterium. RNAcentral describes it as "partial 16S ribosomal RNA". It matches the Rfam family "Bacterial small subunit ribosomal RNA", at positions 524 to 776 of the family's 1533-position model. The record is from RNAcentral.